UGAGGUAAAGGCUUACCAAGGCGAUGAUGCAUAGCCGAGUUGAGAGACUGAUCGGCCACAUUGGGACUGAGACACGGCCCAAACUCCUACGGGAGGCAGCAGUAGGGAAUCUUCCACAAUGGACGCAAGUCUGAUGGAGCAACGCCGCGUGAGUGAAGAAGGUUUUCGGAUCGUAAAGCUCUGUUGUUGGUGAAGAAGGAUAGAGGUAGUAACUGGCCUUUAUUUGACGGUAAUCAACCAGAAAGUCACGGCUAACUACGUGCCAGCAGCCGCGGUAAAU
RNAcentral lists this ribosomal RNA (280 nucleotides) under uncultured Lactobacillus sp. Its description in RNAcentral is "partial 16S ribosomal RNA". It matches the Rfam family "Bacterial small subunit ribosomal RNA", at positions 253 to 525 of the family's 1533-position model. Lineage: Bacteria; Bacillati; Bacillota; Bacilli; Lactobacillales; Lactobacillaceae. The record is from RNAcentral.